Myotis myotis is the source of this 118-nucleotide small nucleolar RNA. The record is from RefSeq and is a predicted model, not a curated record. NCBI's taxonomy places the organism in Eukaryota, Metazoa, Chordata, Mammalia, Chiroptera, Vespertilionidae.
GAAUAAACUCAAGCUAAUGACCCACUGAGCCGUCAAGAAAGGGCAAAGGAAAAACACCACUUUGGGGUGAAGCGGCAGCGUGUCGUGUUGCUUUGCUUCAAUCGGUGGUGUGACAAGG